CAGUAGCCACGGUAAUACGUAGGUGGCAAGCGCUGUCCGGAAUUAUUGGGCGUAAAGCGCGCGCAGGCGGAUAGGUCAGUCUGUCUUAAAGGUUCGGGGCUUAACCCCGUGAUGGGAUGGAAACUGCCAAUCUAGAGUAUCGGAGAGGAAAGUGGAAUUCCUAGUGUAGCGGUGAAAUGCGUAGAUAUUAGGAAGAACACCAGUGGCGAAGGCGACUUUCUGGACGAAAACUGACGCUGAGGCGCGAAAGCCAGGGGAGCGAACGGGAUUAGAUACCCCAGUAGUCCCUGUCUCUUAUACA
Molecule: ribosomal RNA, 301 nt
Filed under: uncultured bacterium
Lineage: Bacteria
Description: partial 16S ribosomal RNA
Rfam family: Bacterial small subunit ribosomal RNA
Source: RNAcentral